GGUAGACGCUGGCGGCGUGCCUAAUCAUGCAAGUCGAGCGAACAGACAAGGAGCUUGCUCCUUUGACGUUAGCGGCGGACGGGUGAGUAACACGUGGGUAACCUACCUAUAAGACUGGGAUAACUUCGGGAAACCGGAGCUAAUACCGGAUAAUAUUUCGAACCGCAUGGUUCGAUAGUGAAAGAUGGUUNUGCUAUCACUUAUAGAUGGACCCGCGCCGUAUUAGCUAGUUGGUAAGGNAACGGCUUACCAAGGNGACGAUACGUAGCCGACCNGAGAGGGUGAUCGGCCNNACUGGAACUGAGACACUGGUCCAGACUCCUACGGGAGGCAGCAGUAGGGAAUCUUCCGCAAAUGGGCGAAAGCCUGACGGAGCAAACGCCGCGUGAGUAAUGAAGGUCUUCGGAUCGUAAAACUCUGUUAUUAGGGAAGAACAUACGUGUAAGUAACUAUGCACGUCUUGACGGUACCUUAAUCAGAAAGCCACGGCUAACUACGUGCCAGCAGCCGCGGUAAUACGUAGGUGGCAAGCGUUAUCCGGAAUUAUUGGGCGUAAAGCGCGCGUAGGCGGUUUUUUAAGUCUGAUGUGAAAGCCCACGGCUCAACCGUGGAGGGUCAUUGGAAACUGGAAAACUUGAGUGCAGAAGAGGAAAGUGGAAUUCCAUGUGUAGCGGUGAAAUGCGCAGAGAUAUGGAGGAACNCCAGGCGAAGCGACUUUCUGGUCUGNACUACGCUA
This 736-nucleotide ribosomal RNA is filed under the name Staphylococcus sp. NBF36. RNAcentral describes it as "bacterial SSU rRNA". It matches the Rfam family "Bacterial small subunit ribosomal RNA", at positions 28 to 748 of the family's 1533-position model. The record is from RNAcentral. Lineage: Bacteria; Bacillati; Bacillota; Bacilli; Caryophanales; Staphylococcaceae.